Molecule: long non-coding RNA, 610 nt
Organism: Octopus sinensis (East Asian common octopus)
Lineage: Eukaryota; Metazoa; Mollusca; Cephalopoda; Octopoda; Octopodidae
Exons: 3
Source: RefSeq, a predicted model, not a curated record
UAAUAACAUAAGAAGAAGAGGAGGAGGAGAAGACGGACGAUGCGAGCAGACAGCAGCGUGUCUCACGUUAAACUAUAUAUAUAUAUAUAUAUAUAUUUCUUGAGCGUCAAAAACUCCUCAUUUGCCGUCCAACUAUUGAGAUAGUGGAGGAGAGAGAGAGCUAAAAUAUUCGUUUACAAUUUGAAGCAGCAGUCAUAGAUUGAGCUGUAGUUGUUGUAGUAGUGGAAAGGAAAGUACAGCUGAAAUCAGCUGAAAAAUCCUAGCAGUUUGCUCCAUCAAGUUUUGUUUGUUGUUUGAUGACACAUAGUCUCUCAUUCACUCACAGACUCUGUAAACGUUUACAUCGGCUGCUGGAUCCUACCGUUACAGUCGACUGAACUCUUGUUGUAUUUUGAGCCCGUGGGAAUUAUAAACCCAAAGUAAGGGGUGUGGAAAAACAAACCUUUUUGUCACAUAAUCGCGAGAAUAUACAUUAAAUAAUAACAACAAUAUUAACAAAAAAUAUUACAAAAAAAGGAGAAUUUCUAUAAUUGACUGACAGUUUCCGUAGAUGAUGUGACAAGAUUGUCUUCCUAUGUCACAGCAAAGGUAAUUGAACCAGAUGUUGUUU